UCCUUAAAUAACAAUCAAAUAUCUUACUCAAAAAUGUUAGAAGAUUACUCAAGAUUGUUAUUAAAAGAAAAAAAACAAAAAAAGGAGAAAGGAAAAAUCGUCAAACAAGUAUGAAAUCCAAUGCAUAAUUAUAGGAAGAUGAGCAUGCAGUUCAUCUGCAAAAUAAAAUUUAUUAAAGGAAUAUGACUUGUUGGUAUUAGAAAAUUGUGAAAAUUAAAUACAAUGUUUCAUUUGUGCAUGACAAUAAGAGGCAAGAAAAUUUAACUCCAUGGCCAAUCUAUUAAAGUAUUUAACUCCAUGCAGGAGAUAAUGUUUCUGAUAGAUCAACUGGUGUUUAAACAAUCUCUAAUACCUUAACAACAUGAUUAUUAUAAUCAUGAUAGAAAAAAAUGACAAAUACUGGCCAUGCACGUGGAAAUUACAUAUAAUAUUUCAGCGAAUAAAAUUAUAUUGGCUAGAGCAGAAAAAUUUCCUUGGAAAUAAUUACUUGGGUGCUAAUUGAUAUAUUUUUCUGAUAAAAUGUAAAUAAUCUAUUAUUUAAAUAAUAUUUUUUCCACCUAUAAUAUGGAUCGAUAAAGAAAAAAAACGAUGCACGUACGUAAACCGAAUCAAAUUGCAGUCAAUGACAGACGUAUUGAGAAGGAAUGAAAUUUGUAUCAAUAAUAACGCAAUUAAUUAUUUCAAUGUUAUUAUUUUCCAAUAUAUUUGGUGACAGUUCUAGGAUCCUACCCAACUCAUCAUGGAAAAAUUUAACUCUUACUGAAAGAAUGUUGAUUCUGUUACUUGGAAUAUGUAACCUUGGGUUUAAGAACACCAUAUACUAUACUGGAAAUCAUUCGGAUCUGACUGAAGAUUUGUUGAAAAUGUCAUCUUCUAAAAAUCCGAAAUCCUGGAUUCUUACAUCCACCACAGGGUAUACAAAAUUUAGAAAUCUAACAACUAUUAAUGGAUAUGUGAUUGUAUUCAGCGAAUCUGAAGAAUUGGUCAAAAUAAUAUGGCGUAUAAUGCUAAAUUGGCAAUGUGUAAAAACUUGUAAAGUGAUUUUUUUAUCAAAAGUGCCACGAUCUUGUGAUCAUGCACGUGAUGCUAUCGCGAGAUUGGGACACGCAUAUUAUGAGGUGAUCUACUAUAUUUGUGAUGACAAGAAAUACGGUCCGAUAGUUUUGACACAAGAUAAAUAUCAAAAUAUUCAACAACCUUAUUGGACCCAUGUGUCGUGGAAAGUUGAUUCUUUGUAUCUUGGAAGUUUCUACUUGCGUAAAUACAAUAUAGAUUUAUGCCGUAACUUGAACUUUUAUCGCCAAAUGCCGUCAGAAAACAUCGACAUAUUAGUAGGAUGUCAAAGAAAGGUAACAUCAGAGUCAGAAAUGGUGCCAGACUUUAUCUAUCGUGAAGAUAUGAAUAAAUUAAAAACAGAGUUUCUACUCCCCUCAAUUUUGCUUAUUGGGAAAGUAUUGAACAUUACAUUUGCAGCUUAUAUACAAUCGUAUUUAUACAAAAAAGGCCAUAAUGCUGAUAAAUUAUAUCCACUACUAUGGAUUAAAACUCAUGUCGAUAUAACGUCACAUGGCCAAGCCUUAGUCUAUAACAAUUUGAUUACAUACCUGAAUCCUGAUUACUACGACACUUUUAUUAUUCUUUCUUUUAAAUCAGCCGAAGCUACACCUCUUGAAAAAAUAUACAAGUUUUAUGGAAUUUGGACUUUAAUAUCACUGAUUAUGAUUUUAAUCAUUACUUUUGUCGUGAUAUACUUGAAAUCUCAUAGGAAUGCAGCUUCGGCGGCUUUCAAUGUCCUUAGACUUCUGAUAAACUCAGGAGUUGAAAUUCCAAUCAAUACUUUAUCACUGAAAAUAUUCUUUUGCAUGAUAUUCUUGUAUUUUACGGUAAUUCAUGCAACUUUCAGUGAAAAUUUGCCGAGGUUUCUUACGAUACCUGAAAUCCAUGACACCAUAGACUCCCUUGAAGAUCUAUUGAAUCCUCGAAUUACAACGAUUUAUGAUAUAGGCUUCUAUAAUGAUGAUAAUAAAUUAACAAAUGAAGUUAUUAACAGAAAAAGAAAGUAUCUUAGAGAUCCUUAUGAUCUUAUUCAGCACUUCAUUGCAGAUAAGACUUCAGUUUGUAUAAUAAACAAAAAGGAUUCAGUAUUUGUAUUUAAAUUGAAAGGUUUUCUAGGAAAAAUUCAUAUGAGUAAAAAUGAAUUUGGAGACAUUAAAGGUGGCCUUAUAGUUCGACGUCGAUUUUUCUUACAAGAACAGUUUCAAUGGGCUACAACUUAUCUAUUUGAUGUUGCUGUACAUACAUUAUACAAAAAGGAACACUAUAAAAUUGAAAGAUCAAUCGAGAAACACCAAAUUCUCUCACAAAUAAAUUUUCGAAAAAUAACUCUUAAUGAUUUAAGAUUUUCAUUUAUUUUUUUAAUUAUUGGAAAUACCUUCGGACUUGUGUGUUUCUUUAUUGAGCUUACAAUUAGUAAAAAAUAUCAUCGAAAAAUUAGAUUGUAUUUUCUCAAAAAAUAUAUGACAUUUAAGAGAAAAAAAGCUCGCAAUAAUAUUCGAAGAAUUGUAGUCAAGCCGAAACCAUUGAAGCCGGAAUUAAUUAAUUAAUUAUUACAGAUAUAGAUGGAAUUUGAUUUGAUUGAAUUGCUUCAAUAAAAAACUCGAUUGAGUUGAAACUUGGUAUUUAUUGAUAGUCUGAAGUAUUCAAGAAUUAUUUUCUGUUAUUUUCAUACACCAAAACAAUGCACUUUGAAGUAUUUUCUUGAAUCUUGCUUCACUCUUUUUUAUUCCGCCAUUACUUCAAUUGUUAUUUUAAUAUAUAAAAUUGUCGAGCAUGGUGUUUAAUAAUUUUACUAAAAAUAUCGACUUGGAUGUGAACGAAGCUACUACUUCAAUAAUAUGUUUCUAAUGAUAAUAAUGUUAAAUAAAAUGAUAUAAACUUUGCAUCUAAUUAUCAGUUCAUCAUUACAUAUGGAGAUGCUAAUUAUGAAGUGACUGAUGCCAUUGAACGAUCUGAAAUCACGACAAAAAUAAUUAUUGGAGACCAUGAUGUGAUGGAGAAUAAAAUCAAAUAUCUCCAUGCUCACCAGCCGUUAUUCUUAAUCAUUUCAACAUCUCUCACUGAUCUUGAUCAUUACCUGAACAAUUUGAGGAACUUUGACUUGUGGAACAUUCAACAACCAUUUUUUAU
This 3186-nucleotide unclassified non-coding RNA is filed under the name Chelonus insularis. Its description in RNAcentral is "uncharacterized LOC118071510, transcript variant X2". The record is from RNAcentral. Lineage: Eukaryota; Metazoa; Arthropoda; Insecta; Hymenoptera; Braconidae.